AAAAGAGACAAAAAUAUCAUCCUCCAUAGAAUGCAUAAGUACCCACUUCAUCCACCAUUUCAGUAUUCCUCUCUUCAUCUGUUUGUUCAGUACAUAAGUUGAGGGGGAAUAAAUAAAAUAUAACCACACAAUCACGGCUAAAGGUUAAGCGUAUUCAACCAACAAUGGAUUGGUCCAAUUGAUAAGGGGCUUGGAUCCCUUAAGUGGGCAGGAGUCUGAUCCCUGACUCGUGUUUGCGAAAAAUAUCCGAUUUUCAGUGAAGAAUUCGCACCUUAUAUGUCCCACAUAUUACUCAACAGAGAUUAUUUAAUAUCAAACGGCGGUGAAAACUUCGUAGUGAUAGUAUUCAAUUCACAAUUGAAACUUAAAGCUUAAAAAACAAGGAAAUUCCUGGAGUUAAUUAACAAACAACUGUGAAACACAGUCAUGGUUUAGUUUGUAAAGCCAUCCCAUCUAUAAUAUUUAAAAGACUUUAAUAUGUAUCUCGUCCUUGCAAUUAGGGUCGUUUAAAAAUUGGUCAAUGUAAUGACUAAUCCUUGCAAAUUAGCCUUACAUUUGUUAAUCAUUUAAAAUUUCGUCCCACAUCCUCAUUAAUCACCGUCACGUCACUAAUUAGCUGACGUGGCGCUAUUAAUUGGUCAAAUGAUUGUUUGACUCAGAAAAAGUUGAUGCGAACGGACAAAAAUACCCCUGACUUCUCAGACAAUUGCGAAAGGACCAAUGAAAAAUGACCAAACUGCCCCUCUCUUCUUCUUCUCAAAAUCUUCUUCCCUUUGCUUCUCUUCUCUGCAACUGAUUGGAGGGAGUAUUAUUUACCCAGAAAUCAGUAAUUACUCUUUCUUUGCUAUGUUGUCCACUGCUCUCCUCUACUUGCCAUUCUCUCCCUUUCUCGCUCCUCCGCUUUCUCUUUUUAACUUCCUACCGGAGAAUCACUCGACCCGAUCCAUUUUCCACCAUUCAUUGUAUUCUCUCCGAACCAGAACCAGAAAAACAACAUGAAAGGUAGGUGCUUCAGAUCUGUGUUGGGAGGACGAAGAUAGAGAUGACGGUGGAUGGCGGCGGUGAUUCGUGUUACAAGAGAUGCCAGAAUCGGGUUGAGCUUGAUGAUACUUGAAAACGCCAUAACUCUGUUGACUGAGUUGCUUACAAAAUUAACAAGAGAUAACAACAAACGUCAGCAAAGAUCCACACACGAAGAACAAAAAUCCAAUGCUAUGUUCAAUUCCUUUGGUAAAUGUUUAUCUAUGCAUUCACAAACUUGGGUUUACUUUAGUUUCUUAUAAACUUCAAUUCUUUUACUUCUUCUACUAGCUAUAUGUAACUUAAUUUACUCACCUUUUUUUAGGUUUUGGCUCAUGAUUUUUAACACAAUAUUGCAACCAUGAAUAAUAAAUGGAUCUUUUAACAUGAUGUUCUCAUUUACGUCUUUGGGCGGAAACGAUGGCAAUGCCCCACCAAUAUUUAUCAUGAAUGGAGAUAAUUACCAUCAAAUGGGAAGUUUGCUGCCACAAGAUGGUUCUCAACUAAAGUUUACUCAGUUAUAUAUAUAUAUAUAUAUAUAUAUGACACCAACAAUGAAGUUGCAAAUAGGAUGUCGGUGGUCGGGUACAAUUGUUAAUCCUUUUUUUUGUUAUACCUAAUAAGCAAUCGUUAGAAUAUUUAUAUAAAUAUAUUAUGAUAUCUCUAAUUUUUUUUCAACGUUUUGUAUAGCACGAAUGACAUGCCUAAUUUGAAAUUGAGAAUUUUAGGCAAGCAGAGACGUGACGGAAGGAGGUACAAUAUUCCUACAGCAUCCGAAGUUGCUACUCUUAUAGUUGGUGAUUAUGAUGCUGCAGAUUAUGAAAGGGACAAAAUUAUCGAGCAGAAAAUAGGUAUCUUUAAACGUGUUUCAGUUCUAAAUACUGCUUAUCUUCCACUGCAAUACCCUUUACUGUUUCCAAGAGGAGAAGAUGGAUAUCGAGAUGACGUGUCUUUGAAAGAGAGAUACAACAAACCAUCAAACAAGAGAAAAGAAGUGUCGAUUAGAGAAUUCUUUUCUUUUAGAAUUCAACAAAGAGAAGUUGAGAGAUCAACUUUACUGUACUCUAAAAGGUUGCUUCAGCAAUUUUCAGUCAACGCAUAUAGUAUGAUAGAGUCUUCGCAGUUGCGAUAUGCCAAGACACAUCAGAAAGAGUUAAGAGUAGAUAUGUACAACUGUCUUGCUGAUGCAGUAUUCAGAGGAGAAACAAAUCCUUCAACAGCAUGAAGGAGGAUUAUAUUACCGUCAACUUUUACUGGUGGAGCACGUUAUAUGCUUCAAAACUAUCAAGAUGCUAUGGCAAUUUGUAGGUGGGCUGGAUAUCCAAAUUUGUUCAUCACAUUUACUUGCAAUCAAAAAUGGCCCGAGUUGCAAAGAGUUGUAACUGGUAUGGGACUCAAAUCCGAGGAUAUACCAGAUUUAGUCUGUCGAGUUUUUAAGAUUAAACUUGAUCAUAUGAUAAAGGAUAUAAUGUUAUCUACAAAUAAGUCUUUCAGAAUUUAAGAUAGGUAAUUUACACAUAUACAUAUUCGUAUAUAUUUUCUAUUUGUUUAUUGUUGU
This is an RNA transcript of Medicago truncatula (barrel medic), 2578 nucleotides long. RefSeq lists it as uncharacterized. The transcript has 2 exons. Lineage: Eukaryota; Viridiplantae; Streptophyta; Magnoliopsida; Fabales; Fabaceae. The record is from RefSeq and is a predicted model, not a curated record.